This 1372-nucleotide ribosomal RNA is filed under the name uncultured bacterium. RNAcentral describes it as "bacterial SSU rRNA". It matches the Rfam family "Bacterial small subunit ribosomal RNA", at positions 28 to 1381 of the family's 1533-position model. The record is from RNAcentral.
GAUGAACGCUGGCGGCGUGCCUAAUACAUGCAAGUCGAGCGAACGGACGAGAAGCUUGCUUCUCUGAUGUUAGCGGCGGACGGGUGAGUAACACGUGGAUAACCUACCUAUAAGACUGGGAUAACUUCGGGAAACCGGAGCUAAUACCGGAUAAUAUUUUGAACCGCAUGGUUCAAAAGUGAAAGACGGUCUUGCUGUCACUUAUGGAUGGAUCCGCGCUGCAUUAGCUAGUUGGUAAGGUAACGGCUUACCAAGGCAACGAUGCAUAGCCGACCUGAGAGGGUGAUCGGCCACACUGGAACUGAGACACGGUCCAGACUCCUACGGGAGGCAGCAGUAGGGAAUCUUCCGCAAUGGGCGAAAGCCUGACGGAGCAACGCCGCGUGAGUGAUGAAGGUCUUCGGAUCGUAAAACUCUGUUAUUAGGGAAGAACAUAUGUGUAAGUAACUGUGCACAUCUUGACGGUACCUAAUCAGAAAGCCACGGCUAACUACGUGCCAGCAGCCGCGGUAAUACGUAGGUGGCAAGCGUUAUCCGGAAUUAUUGGGCGUAGAGCGCGCGUAGGCGGUUUUUUAAGUCUGAUGUGAAAGCCCACGGCUCAACCGUGGAGGGUCAUUGGAAACUGGAAAACUUGAGUGCAGAAGAGGAAAGUGGAAUUCCAUGUGUAGCGGUGAAAUGCGCAGAGAUAUGGAGGAACACCAGUGGCGAAGGCGACUUUCUGGUCUGUAACUGACGCUGAUGUGCGAAAGCGUGGGGAUCAAACAGGAUUAGAUACCCUGGUAGUCCACGCCGUAAACGAUGAGUGCUAAGUGUUAGGGGGUUUCCGCCCCUUAGUGCUGCAGCUAACGCAUUAAGCACUCCGCCUGGGGAGUACGACCGCAAGGUUGAAACUCAAAGGAAUUGACGGGGACCCGCACAAGCGGUGGAGCAUGUGGUUUAAUUCGAAGCAACGCGAAGAACCUUACCAAAUCUUGACAUCCUUUGACAACUCUAGAGAUAGAGCCUUCCCCUUCGGGGGACAAAGUGACAGGUGGUGCAUGGUUGUCGUCAGCUCGUGUCGUGAGAUGUUGGGUUAAGUCCCGCAACGAGCGCAACCCUUAAGCUUAGUUGCCAUCAUUAAGUUGGGCACUCUAAGUUGACUGCCGGUGACAAACCGGAGGAAGGUGGGGAUGACGUCAAAUCAUCAUGCCCCUUAUGAUUUGGGCUACACACGUGCUACAAUGGACAAUACAAAGGGCAGCGAAACCGCGAGGUCAAGCAAAUCCCAUAAAGUUGUUCUCAGUUCGGAUUGUAGUCUGCAACUCGACUACAUGAAGCUGGAAUCGCUAGUAAUCGUAGAUCAGCAUGCUACGGUGAAUACGUUCCCGGGUCU